UGAGAUUUUAACACGAAGUGAGUGGCGGACGGGUGAGUAACACGUGGGUAACCUGCCCAGAAGCAGGGGAUAACACCUGGAAACAGAUGCUAAUACCGUAUAACAGAGAAAACCGCCUGGUUUUCUUUUAAAAGAUGGCUCUGCUAUCACUUCUGGAUGGACCCGCGGCGCAUUAGCUAGUUGGUGAGGUAACGGCUCACCAAGGCGAUGAUGCGUAGCCGACCUGAGAGGGUAAUCGGCCACAUUGGGACUGAGACACGGCCCAGACUCCUACGGGAGGCAGCAGUAGGGAAUCUUCCACAAUGGACGCAAGUCUGAUGGAGCAACGCCGCGUGAGUGAAGAAGGGUUUCGGCUCGUAAAGCUCUGUUGUUAAAGAAGAACGUGGGUGAGAGUAACUGUUCACCCAGUGACGGUAUUUAACCAGAAAGCCACGGCUAACUACGUGCCAGCAGCCGCGGUAAUACGUAGGUGGCAAGCGUUAUCCGGAUUUAUUGGGCGUAAAGCGAGCGCAGGCGGUCUUUUAAGUCUAAUGUGAAAGCCUUCGGCUCAACCGAAGAAGUGCAUUGGAAACUGGGAGACUUGAGUGCAGAAGAGGACAGUGGAACUCCAUGUGUAGCGGUGAAAUGCGUAGAUAUAUGGAAGAACACCAGUGGCGAAGGCGGCUGUCUGGUCUGUAACUGACGCUGAGGCUCGAAAGCAUGGGUAGCGAACAGGAUUAGAUACCCUGGUAGUCCAUGCCGUAAACGAUGAUUACUAAGUGUUGGAGGGUUUCCGCCCUUCAGUGCUGCAGCUAACGCAUUAAGUAAUCCGCCUGGGGAGUACGACCGCAAGGUUGAAACUCAAAAGAAUUGACGGGGGCCCGCACAAGCGGUGGAGCAUGUGGUUUAAUUCGAAGCUACGCGAAGAACCUUACCAGGUCUUGACAUCUUCUGCCAACCUAAGAGAUUAGGCGUUCCCUUCGGGGACAGAAUGACAGGUGGUGCAUGGUUGUCGUCAGCUCGUGUCGUGAGAUGUUGGGUUAAGUCCCGCAACGAGCGCAACCCUUAUUACUAGUUGCCAGCAUUCAGUUGGGCACUCUAGUGAGACUGCCGGUGACAAACCGGAGGAAGGUGGGGACGACGUCAAAUCAUCAUGCCCCUUAUGACCUGGGCUACACACGUGCUACAAUGGAUGGUACAACGAGUUGCGAAACCGCGAGGUUUAGCUAAUCUCUUAAAACCAUUCUCAGUUCGGACUGUAGGCUGCAACUCGCCUACACGAAGUCGGAAUCGCUAGUAAUCGCGGAUCAGCAUGCCGCGGUGAAUACGUUCCCGGGCCUUGUACACACCGCCCGUCACACCA
This 1342-nucleotide ribosomal RNA is filed under the name Pediococcus acidilactici. RNAcentral describes it as "bacterial SSU rRNA". It matches the Rfam family "Bacterial small subunit ribosomal RNA", at positions 73 to 1404 of the family's 1533-position model. Lineage: Bacteria; Bacillati; Bacillota; Bacilli; Lactobacillales; Lactobacillaceae. The record is from RNAcentral.